This 868-nucleotide ribosomal RNA is filed under the name Sepedonium ampullosporum. RNAcentral describes it as "LSU rRNA". It matches the Rfam family "Eukaryotic large subunit ribosomal RNA", at positions 37 to 935 of the family's 3401-position model. The record is from RNAcentral. Lineage: Eukaryota; Fungi; Ascomycota; Sordariomycetes; Hypocreales; Hypocreaceae.
AGCAUAUCAAUAAGCGGAGGAAAAGAAACCAACAGGGAUUGCCCCAGUAACGGCGAGUGAAGCGGCAACAGCUCAAAUUUGAAAUCUGGCCCCUCGGGCCCGAGUUGUUAUUUGUGGAGGAUGCUUUUGGUGAGGUGCCGCCCGAGUUCCCUGGAACGGGACGCCAUAGAGGGGGAGAGCCCCGUCUGGGUGGCCGCCGAGCCUCUGUGAAGCUCCUUCGACGAGUCGAGUAGGUUGGGAAUGCUGCUCUAAAUGGGAGGUAUAUGUCUUCUAAAGCUAAAUAUUGGCCAGAGACCGAUAGCGCACAAGUAGAGUGAUCGAAAGAUGAAAAGCACUUUGAAAAGAGGGUUAAAUAGUACGUGAAAUUGUUGAAAGGGAAGCGCUCAUGACCAGACUUGGGCUUGGCGAAUCAUCCGGCGUUCUCGCCGGUGCACUUUGCCUCGUCCAGGCCAGCAUCAGUUCGCCGCGGGGGACAAAGGCUUCGGGAACGUGGCUCCUCCGGGAGUGUUAUAGCCCGUUGCGUAAUACCCUGCGGUGGACUGAGGUCCGCGCAUCUGCAAGGAUGCUGGCGUAAUGGUCAUCAGCGACCCGUCUUGAAACACGGACCAAGGAGUCGUCUUCGUAUGCGAGUGUUCGGGUGUCAAACCCCUACGCGUAAUGAAAGUGAACGCAGGUGAGAGCUUCGGCGCAUCAUCGACCGAUCCUGAUGUUCUCGGAUGGAUUUGAGUAAGAGCAUACGGGGCCGGACCCGAAAGAAGGUGAACUAUGCCUGUAUAGGGUGAAGCCAGAGGAAACUCUGGUGGAGGCUCGCAGCGGUUCUGACGUGCAAAUCGAUCGUCAAAUAUGGGCAUGGGGGCGAAAGACUAAU